RNAcentral lists this ribosomal RNA (433 nucleotides) under uncultured Oscillospiraceae bacterium. Its description in RNAcentral is "partial 16S ribosomal RNA". It matches the Rfam family "Bacterial small subunit ribosomal RNA", at positions 341 to 792 of the family's 1533-position model. The record is from RNAcentral. Lineage: Bacteria; Bacillati; Bacillota; Clostridia; Eubacteriales; Oscillospiraceae.
ACGGAAGGCAGCAGUGGGGGAUAUUGCACAAUGGGCGCAAGCCUGAUGCAGCGACGCCGCGUGUGGGAAGACGGUCUUCGGAUUGUAAACCACUGUCUUUGGGGACGAUAAUGACGGUACCCAAGGAGGAAGCUCCGGCUAACUACGUGCCAGCAGCCGCGGUAAUACGUAGGGAGCAAGCGUUGUCCGGAAUUACUGGGUGUAAAGGGAGCGCAGGCGGGAAGACAAGUUGGAUGUCAAAUCUAUCGGCUUAACCGAUAUACGCAUUCAAAACUGUUUUUCUUGAGUGAAGUAGAGGUUGGCGGAAUUCCUAGUGUAGCGGUGAAAUGCGUAGAUAUUAGGAGGAACACCAGUGGCGAAGGCGGCCAACUGGGCUUUUACUGACGCUGAGGCUCGAAAGCGUGGGGAGCAAACAGGAUUAGAUACCCUGGUA